GGACCUUUAGCUCAGUUGGUUAGAGCAGACGGCUCAUAACCGUCCGGUCGUAGGUUCGAGCAUGUGGUUUA
Molecule: transfer RNA, 71 nt
Filed under: Bacillus amyloliquefaciens
Lineage: Bacteria; Bacillati; Bacillota; Bacilli; Caryophanales; Bacillaceae
Also listed under: 2 other names
Description: tRNA-Met
Rfam family: tRNA
About the family: Transfer RNA (tRNA) molecules are approximately 80 nucleotides in length. Their secondary structure includes four short double-helical elements and three loops (D, anti-codon, and T loops). Further hydrogen bonds mediate the characteristic L-shaped molecular structure. tRNAs have two regions of fundamental functional importance: the anti-codon, which is responsible for specific mRNA codon recognition, and the 3' end, to which the tRNAs corresponding amino acid is attached (by aminoacyl-tRNA synthetases). tRNAs cope with the degeneracy of the genetic code in two manners: having more than one tRNA (with a specific anti-codon) for a particular amino acid; and 'wobble' base-pairing, i.e. permitting non-standard base-pairing at the 3rd anti-codon position.
Source: RNAcentral